GCCGCACACGGGGAGAGACCCACCGACCCUGUGGGGGCUGGUCCCUACAACCCUCAUGUCAUUCCCAAAAUCACCUUCUUCAGACUCUGCUUGAACACUGCAAAGAUUAGUUCCAUUUUGUAAAUUCAGACCACUAGAAAUCAGCACAAAUCUGUUCCAUCACUAUUUCCACUCAAAUUCAUGUAUGCUAUGUAUGUGGAUGAAAACGCAUGCCUCUAUGUCGGCUACCUCAUAAUCCCUAGCAGUCAACCGGAGUGGAGUGCGGCCUCGCCCUUCUGUUGGAUUUAUGCAGUUUGACACUUCCUCAGCCGUUUCCUCCCACAAUUACAAGGUCAGCUGAGAGCUGUGACUCUGCUCUGUGUGUCUUCAUUCUGGGAUCAAGCUCACCUGGGCCAUGUUGAUCUUGGGGAAGGAGAAGGCAAAUGACAAGAGCACGCAAUGGCUCUUCAGUAUCCGCUGGGAAGAGGCACACCACAUUCCCACUGACAUUUUAUGGAAGCAGGCUGUGUGGCCAUGCUUGAGAUCAGUGUGUGGGGAAGUAAAUUCACCCACAGGGUAGACAGAGCAACCCCAUGGCAGGAGUGGAUGUGUUCAACCCUCCACAUAGGGCAGCCAAUGAGAAGAAAAACACAGUCCACCACACUUCAACAUGUUUGAAUUUUGGUCCUUUUUCAAUGACAUUCCUAUUUGAGAUCUCUUCUGACGGCUUUAGGGCCAUUCCUAAGAUUCAGAGAGCAGUGUAGCGUGACUCACUGUAUGCCCCUGGCAAGGACUGAGUGUGGCCCACAAAGCCUAGAAUAUUUAUUUUCUGACUCUUUCCAAAAGAGUUUGUCAACCCCCAGAAUAAAACUAAAUUUGGAGGCCAGGUGUGAUGGCUCAAACCUAUAAUCCUAGCACUUUGGGAGUCAAAGGCAAGAGGAUCCCUUCAGCCCAGGGGUUCAAGACCAGCCUGGGAGAACUUGUCUCUGAAAAAUAAUUAAUUAAUUAAUUAAUUAAUUUAAAAAAAAAAAAAACCUUAAAUGUGGGAUUGGUCCUGGAAGCUUGGUUUCAUUGGCACUGGGAGCAAUUAUGUCCAUCCCAGAUGAAAUCAGCUUCUACAAGUAACAAAUCUCACCUUUAAAGCCAGCGGUUACUAAUCAGUGUAGAAUUACUCCUCUAGAAUCUGGAGUCCAGACGCCACUCCAGUGAAUCUGUGUAUCCAUGUUCCUGGUGUUGCACUUACCACACAGGAUUAUAAUUACAAUUUUAUGUCCCACAAACAGACUAUGGUAACAUCCCAUACUCAGCCCAGUGCUUGACAAAGGUAUUUUUGUAACUGUUUUUGAUUGAAUUAAACUAAACUAUGGGCAUGCAGAG
This 1356-nucleotide long non-coding RNA is filed under the name Homo sapiens (human). RNAcentral describes it as "HSALNT0084960". Lineage: Eukaryota; Metazoa; Chordata; Mammalia; Primates; Hominidae. The record is from RNAcentral.